This is a long non-coding RNA of Protopterus annectens (West African lungfish), 1926 nucleotides long. RefSeq lists it as uncharacterized. The transcript has 3 exons. Lineage: Eukaryota; Metazoa; Chordata; Ceratodontiformes; Protopteridae. The record is from RefSeq and is a predicted model, not a curated record.
UGUUUCCUUGCAGAUGUGUAGAGUUCAUUGCAAAGGAAGGUCGAAGUCUGAAAGAGCUGUACCUCGUUUCUUGUAGAAUCACAGAUUAUGCUUUGAUAGCGAUUGGACAGUACAGUGUGACUAUUGAAACAGUAGACGUUGGCUGGUGUAAAGAGAUAACAGAUCAAGGAGCAAUGCAGAUCUCAAAGACUAGCAAAUCGCUCCGAUACUUGGGCCUUAUGCGGUGUGAUAAGGUGAAUGAAGAAACAGUGGAACAGCUUGUCCAACAGUAUCCACAUAUCACAUUCAGUACAGUAAUGCAAGAUUGCAAGAGAACCCUGGAGCGGGCCUAUCAAAUGGGCUGGACACCAUCCACAUCUGCAUCAUAGCAUUCAGCAUGAGAUGAACAAUACGUUAUGUGGAUUCCACAGAGAAAAGAGUGUGUUCUUUUAGGGUUUGUCUUGUAUGCCCCCCAUUUCUAGUAGUUGAUGAACUUAAAAUACAAAGAUAUUUUCUAAAACUGAUUCCUUUUAAAAGUUACCUGAGAAGUACAGGUCGAUGGUUCUAAUGUAGUUCAGCUGAAGAUAUUUCAUGAGAAGAUCUUUCUUCAUGUCAAAACUGUCCUAAUCCAUGCAUAGCAUCUGAUCUGAUCACAUUUGAUAAAUUUCUGAGCAGAAUCUGCAUGUCCCAAAGACAUUGAAAAAAGCUUGCAGAUUUUAACAGUAUGACAGUAUCACAUAUGCAUUUUUAAACAAAUUGUGCUACAGCAUGUAGGUGAAAACACUAACUGAAAAUACUGAUGAAGAGCAUUUAUUUUUGUCUUUUAAUGGACGCUCCCUGUCUGCUCGUACAGAAAUUGUGUAUUUAUUUUUUGAGCUUUGUUGGAUUUUUUUUUUUUAUCUUGCUGUGAGAAAAUGAUCAUAUGAGCCUUUCUCUGUACAUUCAUUUUCCUCUGCACUUUUACAUUGUGCAGCUUUAAAGUGAGAAGUGUAUGCAUUUGUGCCCAUUUUAUUUGUGGAAAGUAGUGAUAGUGACAGAAUAGAAUGCAUUUUUGUACCAUGCAGACCCUUUUCACUCAUCUGUAAGUAUCUGCCCUGCUGAUGGAGGUUCCUCUCAGAUAACAUUGUUUCGAUUUAGCCAAAAUUAGCCUGCAGGAUAGAAAAAUUUUCAUUAUGUGUGACACCCCCUGGAGGAUAUAGGCUUAGAUUGCUGUGAUUUCUGCCAUCCUUGAUGUUUUGUGCAUAUUUACACUGUUGUCUGUAAGCGACCCCUUAGCUAUUAAUUUAGUUAUAGCCAUCCACAGGAAAUAAAUGGGUCAAAGGGUAUGGACGAGAUUCAUACCUCGUAGCCUCUUAACACAAGGAAUCUAUACAAAGUCAAAAAUAAUGGGGAGGCAGAGGCAACAAAAUAGGAACAAAUUUUAAACAUUGCUGUUAUAAACUUGCUAGAAUAAAAGUUCUUUUGCUACCAUUCAUUUUCUGCAGAUAUAAAGUCUGAAACUCAAAUACUUGUCAUUAUUUAGUGAAUUCAGUCCUCACUGGCCAGGAAACCACAAAUUUUAUGAGGACCAGACCAAAAAACUAUGAGGUGAAAAUUUGGACUGUUGAGAAGUAUGAAGAGACUUGAGGGUGAAAGUAGGGAGAGCUUAAAAAACAAAUCUCUGUUUUUUCUCGGUUUUCACCUGUUCUUUGUAUUGCUAGUUAUGAACACUUACACACUUUAACACUAGCCAUCACUCCUGUGGAAUCACAGUCAUAUUGUUUAUUAGCAACAAAGUAUAUUUGUGUAGUUAUGAUCUGAUCAGUGUGCUGCCUCUGGUAAGAAUUGUAGUAUCAGAAAAUUAAGAACUUAAAAAAAAAACAGGAGUUGUAAUGAAGCUCUCUGAACUUCUUCAUGUUUAUGUCGUAAUAAAAGCUGGUAAAUAAAUUUGCUGCAUUAGCAGGGAAA